UGGAUGAUGUGGAUUAAUUCGAUGCAACGCGAAGAACCUUACUACCCUUGACAUGUCCGGAACUUGCCAGAGAUGGCUUGGUGCCCGAAAGGGAAUCGGAACACAGGUGCUGCAUGGCUGUCGUCAGCUCGUGUCGUGAGAUGUUGGGUUAAGUCCCGCAACGAGCGCAACCCUUAUCAUUAGUUGCUACGCAAGGGCACUCUAAUGAGACUGCCGGUGACAAACCGGAGGAAGGUGGGGAUGACGUCAAGUCCUCAUGGCCCUUAUGGGUAGGGCUUCACACGUCAUACAAUGGUCGGUACAGAGGGUUGCCAAGCCGCGAGGCGGAGCCAAUCCCACAAAGCCGAUCGUAGUCCGGAUUGUUCUCUGCAACUCGAGAGCAUGAAGUCGGAAUCGCUAGUAAUCGCAGGUCAGCAUACUGCGGUGAAUACGUUCCCGGGUCUU
RNAcentral lists this ribosomal RNA (444 nucleotides) under uncultured Thiobacillus sp. Its description in RNAcentral is "bacterial SSU rRNA". It matches the Rfam family "Bacterial small subunit ribosomal RNA", at positions 933 to 1382 of the family's 1533-position model. The record is from RNAcentral. Lineage: Bacteria; Pseudomonadati; Pseudomonadota; Betaproteobacteria; Nitrosomonadales; Thiobacillaceae.